CCCAUGAUCAAUUUUCUUAUAGAUUUUUUAUUUUUAGAGUUCCUUCUCCUCCUCCUCUCUUCCUCUUCCAGAUUUUCUAUCACUUUGGAGUGUCCAAGGUGCUUGUAGAAGAAGGAAGAGGUCAGCUAUUGAAGUUGUUCACAGACUAGCAUCUCCAAGCCCCUGAUCUGCAUCAGUCUUCACAUGAAUUUUUUUAUAGAGGCCAGAUG
This 209-nucleotide long non-coding RNA is filed under the name Elaeis guineensis (African oil palm). RNAcentral's name for it is "long non-coding RNA (EGUI_LNC066226)". Lineage: Eukaryota; Viridiplantae; Streptophyta; Magnoliopsida; Arecales; Arecaceae. The record is from RNAcentral.